UACGGAGGGUGCAAGCGUUGUCCGGAAUCAUUGGGCGUAAAGAGUUCGUAGGUGGUAUGUUAAGUCUGGUGUUAAAGCCCGAAGCUCAACUUCGGUUCGGCACUGGAUACUGGCAAACUUGAAUGCGGUAGAGGUAAAGGGAAUUCCUGGUGUAGCGGUGAAAUGCGUAGAUAUCAGGAGGAACAUCGGUGGCGUAAGCGCUUUACUGGGCCGUAAUUGACACUGAGGAACGAAAGCCGGGGUAGCAAAUGGG
Molecule: ribosomal RNA, 253 nt
Filed under: uncultured bacterium
Lineage: Bacteria
Description: partial 16S ribosomal RNA
Rfam family: Bacterial small subunit ribosomal RNA
Source: RNAcentral